Molecule: ribosomal RNA, 422 nt
Filed under: uncultured bacterium
Lineage: Bacteria
Description: bacterial SSU rRNA
Rfam family: Bacterial small subunit ribosomal RNA
Source: RNAcentral
UAAGGAAUAUUGGACAAUGGAGGCAACUCUGAUCCAGCCAUGCCGCGUGAAGGAAUAAGGCCCUAUGGGUUGUAAACUUCUUUUAGACGGGACAAAACCCCUUUACGUGUAAAGGGUUGAUGGUACUGUCAGAAUAAGCAUCGGCUAACUUCGUGCCAGCAGCCGCGGUAAUACGAAGGAUGCAAGCGUUAUCCGGAAUUAUUGGGUUUAAAGGGUGCGUAGGCGGACUAAUAAGUCAGUGGUGAAAGCCUGCAGCUUAACUGCAGAAUUGCCAUUGAUACUGUUAUUCUUGAGUACAGUUGAGGUAGGCGGAAUGUGUCAGGUAGCGGUGAAAUGCUUAGAUAUGACACAGAACACCGAUUGCGAAGGCAGCUUGCUAAGCUGUAACUGACGCUGAGGCACGAAAGCGUGGGGAGCAAACA